CGGAGACGGAAGGAGUGCUUUUAUUAGAUCAAAACCAAUCGGUGGCGGGUUCGCCCGUCAUCGUACAACUUGGUGACUCUGAAUAACUUUACGCUGAUCGCACGGUCUCGCACCGGCGACGCAUCUUUCAAAUGUCUGCCUUAUCAACUGUCGAUGGUAGGUUCUGCGCCUACCAUGGUUGUAACGGGUAACGGGGAAUCAGGGUUCGAUUCCGGAGAGGGAGCCUGAGAAACGGCUACCACAUCCAAGGAAGGCAGCAGGCGCGCAAAUUACCCACUCCCGGCACGGGGAGGUAGUGACGAAAAAUAACGAUACGGGACUCAUCCGAGGCCCCGUAAUCGGAAUGAGUACACUCUAAACCCUUUAACGAGGAUCAAUUGGAGGGCAAGUCUGGUGCCAGCAGCCGCGGUAAUUCCAGCUCCAAUAGCGUAUAUUAAAGUUGUUGCGGUUAAAAAGCUCGUAGUCGAAUCUGUGUCCCGCGCCGCCGGUUCAUCGUCCGCGGUGUCAACUGGCGUGUCGCGGGACGUCCUGCCGGUGGGCUUAGCCCGCAAGGGCGGCCCAACUCAAUCCUGCCGCGGUGCUCUUCAUUGAGUGUCGAGGUGGGCCGGCACGUUUACUUUGAACAAAUUAGAGUGCUUAAAGCAGGCUAAAACUUCGCCUGAAUACUGUGUGCAUGGAAUAAUGGAAUAGGACCUCGGUUCUAUUUUGUUGGUUUUCGGAACCCCGAGGUAAUGAUUAAUAGGAACGGAUGGGGGCAUUCGUAUUGCGACGUUAGAGGUGAAAUUCUUGGAUCGUCGCAAGACGGACAGAAGCGAAAGCAUUUGCCAAAAACGCUUUCAUUGAUCAAGAACGAAAGUUAGAGGUUCGAAGGCGAUCAGAUACCGCCCUAGUUCUAACCAUAAACGAUGCCAGCUAGCGAUCCGUCGACGUUCCUCCGAUGACUCGACGGGCAGCUUCCGGGAAACCAAAGCUUUUGGGUUCCGGGGGAAGUAUGGUUGCAAAGCUGAAACUUAAAGGAAUUGACGGAAGGGCACCACCAGGAGUGGAGCCUGCGGCUUAAUUUGACUCAACACGGGAAACCUCACCAGGCCCGGACACCGGAAGGAUUGACAGAUUGAGAGCUCUUUCUUGAUUCGGUGGGUGGUGGUGCAUGGCCGUUCUUAGUUGGUGGAGCGAUUUGUCUGGUUAAUUCCGAUAACGAACGAGACUCUAGCCUGCUAACUAGGCGUAUUUUGACAUCGCAAAGGCCCGCCGAUAUUGGGGUUCGCUCCUUUAUCGCGCGCGGUUUUUACUGUCGGCGUACAAACAAUUCUUCUUAGAGGGACAGGCGGCUUCUAGCCGCACGAGAUUGAGCAAUAACAGGUCUGUGAUGCCCUUAGAUGUUCUGGGCCGCACGCGCGCUACACUGAAGGAAUCAGCGUGUCCUCCCUGGCCGAGCGGCCCGGGUAACCCGCUGAACCU
RNAcentral lists this ribosomal RNA (1461 nucleotides) under Byctiscus fausti. Its description in RNAcentral is "SSU rRNA". It matches the Rfam family "Eukaryotic small subunit ribosomal RNA", at positions 188 to 1561 of the family's 1831-position model. The record is from RNAcentral. Lineage: Eukaryota; Metazoa; Arthropoda; Insecta; Coleoptera; Attelabidae.